AGUGAAUUUUAAACGGCCGCGGUACUCUGACCGUGCAAAGGUAGCAUAAUCAUUUGCCUUAUAAUUGAAGGCUGGAAUGAAUGGUUUGACAAGAAUAUAUCUGUCUCCUUUAGAUUACUUAGAAUUUUAUUUUUGGAUGAAAAAGUCCAGAUAUAAUUAAAAGACAAGAAGACCCUAUCGAGCUUUAGAAAAAUUAGUAGAUUUAAUGUGAUUUGAUAUUAAUAAAAGAAAAGUCAUUAAAUACUUUGAUUGGGGCAAUCGAGGAGUAACUAAAGCCUCCUUUAGAUAUUUAAAUCUUACUUGCGUUGAUCCAAAGUUUUUGAUCAAAGGAAUUAGUUACCGUAGGGAUAACAGCAUUAUCUUUUUUAAGAGCCCAUAUCGAAAAAAAGGUUUGUGACCUCGAUGUUGGACCAGAAUAUCCUAAAGAUGCAGAAGUCUUUAAGGG
This 445-nucleotide ribosomal RNA is filed under the name Conus quercinus. RNAcentral describes it as "partial 16S ribosomal RNA". It matches the Rfam family "Bacterial large subunit ribosomal RNA", at positions 1911 to 2571 of the family's 2925-position model. Lineage: Eukaryota; Metazoa; Mollusca; Gastropoda; Neogastropoda; Conidae. The record is from RNAcentral.